GCCUAACACAUGCAAGUCGAACGGUAACGACGGGAGCUUGCUUCCGGGCGACGAGUGGCGGACGGGUGAGUAACGCGUAGGAAUCUGCCCAGUAGUGGGGGACAACUCGAGGAAACUCGAGCUAAUACCGCAUACGCCCUACGGGGGAAAGCGGGGGAUCUUCGGACCUCGCGCUAUUGGAUGAGCCUGCGUCGGAUUAGCUUGUUGGUGGGGUAAAGGCCCACCAAGGCGACGAUCCGUAGCUGGUCUGAGAGGACGACCAGCCACACUGGGACUGAGACACGGCCCAGACUCCUACGGGAGGCAGCAGUGGGGAAUAUUGGACAAUGGGCGCAAGCCUGAUCCAGCAAUGCCGCGUGUGUGAAGAAGGCCUGCGGGUUGUAAAGCACUUUCAGUGGCGAAGAAAAGCCUGGUGACAAUACCACCGGGUCUUGACGUUAGCCACAGAAGAAGCACCGGCUAAUUCCGUGCCAGCAGCCGCGGUAAUACGGAAGGUGCAAGCGUUAAUCGGAAUUACUGGGCGUAAAGCGCGCGUAGGUGGCUUAGUCAGUCAGAUGUGAAAGCCCCGGGCUUAACCUGGGAAUUGCAUUUGAUACUGCUCGGCUAGAGUAUGGUAGAGGGAAGUGGAAUUCCGGGUGUAGCGGUGAAAUGCGUAGAUAUCCGGAGGAACACCAGUGGCGAAGGCGGCUUCCUGGACUAAUACUGACACUGAGGCGCGAAAGCGUGGGUAGCAAACAGGAUUAGAUACCCUGGUAGUCCACGCUGUAAACGAUGUCAACUAGCUGUUGGGCUCAUUUAAGGGUUUAGUGGCGCAGCUAACGCGAUAAGUUGACCGCCUGGGGAGUACGGCCGCAAGGUUAAAACUCAAAGGAAUUGACGGGGGCCCGCACAAGCGGUGGAGCA
This 903-nucleotide ribosomal RNA is filed under the name uncultured bacterium. RNAcentral's name for it is "bacterial SSU rRNA". It matches the Rfam family "Bacterial small subunit ribosomal RNA", at positions 46 to 939 of the family's 1533-position model. The record is from RNAcentral.